This 581-nucleotide ribosomal RNA is filed under the name uncultured bacterium. RNAcentral describes it as "partial 16S ribosomal RNA". It matches the Rfam family "Bacterial small subunit ribosomal RNA", at positions 355 to 932 of the family's 1533-position model. The record is from RNAcentral.
UGGGGAAUUUUGGACAAUGGGGGAAACCCUGAUCCAGCCAUCCCGCGUGUGCGAUGAAGGCCUUCGGGUUGUAAAGCACUUUUGGCAGGAAAGAAACGUCGCGGGUUAAUACCCCGCGGAACUGACGGUACCUGCAGAAUAAGCACCGGCUAACUACGUGCCAGCAGCCGCGGUAAUACGUAGGGUGCAAGCGUUAAUCGGAAUUACUGGGCGUAAAGCGUGCGCAGGCGGUUCGGAAAGAAAGAUGUGAAAUCCCAGAGCUUAACUUUGGAACUGCAUUUUUUGAACUACCGGGCUAGAGUGUGUCAGAGGGAGGUGGAAUUCCGCGUGUAGCAGUGAAAUGCGUAGAUAUGCGGAGGAACACCGAUGGCGAAGGCAGCCUCCUGGGAUAACACUGACGCUCAUGCACGAAAGCGUGGGGAGCAAACAGGAUUAGAUACCCUGGUAGUCCACGCCCUAAACGAUGUCAACUAGCUGUUGGGGUCUUCGGACCUUGGUAGCGCAGCUAACGCGUGAAGUUGACCGCCUGGGGAGUACGGUCGCAAGAUUAAAACUUAAAUGAAUUGACGGGGUCAUAGCUG